Molecule: ribosomal RNA, 392 nt
Filed under: Labyrinthulaceae sp.
Lineage: Eukaryota; Bigyra; Labyrinthulida; Labyrinthulaceae
Description: partial small subunit ribosomal RNA
Rfam family: Eukaryotic small subunit ribosomal RNA
Source: RNAcentral
AUUCCAGCUCCAAUAGCGUAUAUUAAAGUUGUUGCAGUUAAAAAGCUCGUAGUUGGAUUUUUGACAGGAGCGACCAUACCGGGCUUGAUUGUCCGUGUUUUGUGUUGUCUCCAGUCAUCCUCGUGGAGAGCGUUUCUGGCAUUAAUUUGUUGGAGGCGGGACCCGCGUCAUUUACUGUGAAAAAAUUAGAGUGUUUAAAGCAGGCAAUUGGCUUGAAUACAUUAGCAUGGAAUAAUAAGAUAGGACUUUGGUGCUAUUUUGUUGGUUUGCACAUCAAGGUAAUGAUUAACAGAAUCAGUCGGGGAUAUUCGUGUGCAAAUGUCAGAGGUGAAAUUCUUGGAUUUUUUACAGACGAACUACUGCGAAAGCAUUUAUCAAGGAUGUUUUCAUCA